Molecule: long non-coding RNA, 586 nt
Organism: Columba livia (rock pigeon)
Lineage: Eukaryota; Metazoa; Chordata; Aves; Columbiformes; Columbidae
Exons: 2
Source: RefSeq, a predicted model, not a curated record
AAGAGCAGACUGACCUGGUACUGGUCCACUGGUUGCAUAUCCUUAAGUUAGUCAUUGCUGACAGGAUGCAUAUUGCCUACACAUCCUUAGGUUAGUAAUUGCUGACAGGAUAAAUUCCUUUAAUUUGUAAUGACUACAUUCCCACUCAUACAAAGUGAAGACAUUCAAGGGUACCCAGAAGAUCACUUGCCAAUUAGGCAAGGCACCUCAAUCCUCAAGGAACCUUCCAUAGACAGCCAGUCUAAAGAGGACUCCAUAUCCACUGCUCCAAGGAAGACCAACUCAAAGAGGGUCUCCAGCAGACUCCAUUUAUAACCCAGUUGAAUCUGAGCUGUGGUCAUUUAUGGUAGUGGUCCAGAAGUACAUCUGCCACAACACCUUAAAUGAGAGGAUCUUCCUAGUUGUCCCUGCGAACUGAGGCCUAGUGACAGACUGAAUCCAGCUCCGGUUGGCUGCAGAGUCCAAUCCAGGACAUCGGGUGCCAGCUCUGCAGUUGCUGAGACUUUCAAGAUUGGUUUUGUAUAUUUUAUAUUAUUUUCUCUAUUCUUAUUAGUAGCAUUAGUAAAACAUUUUUAUUUUUUUCCAA